UCCGAGUUAGUAUAUCGGCUAGUAUAUCCGCCUUUCGCGCGGAGGAGACGGGUUCGAUUCCCGUACUCGGAA
Molecule: transfer RNA, 72 nt
Filed under: Puccinia triticina 1-1 BBBD Race 1
Lineage: Eukaryota; Fungi; Basidiomycota; Pucciniomycetes; Pucciniales; Pucciniaceae
Description: tRNA-Glu (TTC) (tRNA-Glu-TTC-3-1)
Rfam family: tRNA
About the family: Transfer RNA (tRNA) molecules are approximately 80 nucleotides in length. Their secondary structure includes four short double-helical elements and three loops (D, anti-codon, and T loops). Further hydrogen bonds mediate the characteristic L-shaped molecular structure. tRNAs have two regions of fundamental functional importance: the anti-codon, which is responsible for specific mRNA codon recognition, and the 3' end, to which the tRNAs corresponding amino acid is attached (by aminoacyl-tRNA synthetases). tRNAs cope with the degeneracy of the genetic code in two manners: having more than one tRNA (with a specific anti-codon) for a particular amino acid; and 'wobble' base-pairing, i.e. permitting non-standard base-pairing at the 3rd anti-codon position.
Source: RNAcentral